This 411-nucleotide ribosomal RNA is filed under the name uncultured bacterium. Its description in RNAcentral is "bacterial SSU rRNA". It matches the Rfam family "Bacterial small subunit ribosomal RNA", at positions 505 to 916 of the family's 1533-position model. The record is from RNAcentral.
GUGUCAGCCGCCGCGGUAAUACGUAGGUGGCAAGCGUUGUCCGGAAUUACUGGGUGUAAAGGGAGCGUAGGCGGGAAUGCAAGUUGAAUGUGAAAUCUAUGGGCUCAACCCAUAGCUGCGUUCAAAACUGUGUUUCUUGAGUGAAGUAGAGGUAGGCGGAAUUCCUAGUGUAGCGGUGAAAUGCGUAAAUAUUAGGAGGAACACCAGUGGCGAAGGCGGCCUACUGGGCUUUAACUGACGCUGAUGCUCGAAAGCGUGGGUAGCAAACAGGAUUAGAUACCCUGGUAGUCCACGCCGUAAACGAUGAUUACUAGGUGUGGGGGGACUGACCCCUUCCGUGCCGCAGUUAACACAAUAAGUAAUCCACCUGGGGAGUACGACCGCAAGGUUGAAACUCAAAGGAAUUGACGG